UAGGGAAUCUUCGGCAAUGGACGGAAGUCUGACCGAGCAACGCCGCGUUAGUGAAGAAGGUUUUCGGAUCGUAAAGCUCUGUUGUUAGAGAAGAACGUUGGUAGGAGUGGAAAAUCUACCAAGUGACGGUAACUAACCAGAAAGGGACGGCUAACUACGUGCCAGCAGCCGCGGUAAUACGUAGGUCCCGAGCGUUGUCCGGAUUUAUUGGGCGUAAAGCGAGCGCAGGCGGUUCUUUAAGUCUGAAGUAAAAGGCAGUGGCUUAACCAUUGUACUCUUUGGAAACUGGAGGACUUGAGUGCAGAAGGGGAGAGUGGAAUUCCAUGUGUAGCGGUGAAAUGCGUAGAUAUAUGGAGGAACACCGGUGGCGAAAGCGGCUCUCUGGUCUGUAACUGACGCUGAGGCUCGAAAGCGUGGGGAGCAAACAGG
RNAcentral lists this ribosomal RNA (429 nucleotides) under Bacillota bacterium. Its description in RNAcentral is "Firmicutes bacterium partial 16S ribosomal RNA". It matches the Rfam family "Bacterial small subunit ribosomal RNA", at positions 355 to 776 of the family's 1533-position model. The record is from RNAcentral. Lineage: Bacteria; Bacillati; Bacillota.